RNAcentral lists this ribosomal RNA (433 nucleotides) under uncultured bacterium. RNAcentral describes it as "partial 16S ribosomal RNA". It matches the Rfam family "Bacterial small subunit ribosomal RNA", at positions 29 to 507 of the family's 1533-position model. The record is from RNAcentral.
AACGAACGCUGGCGGCAUGCCUAACACAUGCAAGUCGAACGAGACCUUCGGGUCUAGUGGCGCACGGGUGCGUAACGCGUGGGAACCUGCCCUUGGGUUGGGAAUAACUCCCCGAAAGGGGUGCUAAUACCGGAUAAGUUCUUGGGACAAAGGAUUUAUCGCCUUUGGUUGGGCCCGCGUUGGAUUAGCUAGUUGGUAGGGUAAAAGCCUACCAAGGCGACGAUCCAUAGCUGGUCUGAGAGGAUGAUCAGCCACACUGGGACUGAGACACGGCCCAGACUCCUACGGGAGGCAGCAGUGGGGAAUAUUGGACAAUGGGCGAAAGCCUGAUCCAGCAAUGCCGCGUGAGUGAUGAAGGCCUUAGGGUUGUAAAGCUCUUUUACCCGGGAUGAUAAUGACAGUACCGGGAGAAUAAGCUCCGGCUAACUCCGUG